AUUGAACGCUGGCGGCAGGCCUAACACAUGCAAGUCGAGCGGAUGAAGGGAGCUUGCUCCUGGAUUCAGCGGCGGACGGGUGAGUAAUGCCUAGGAAUCUGCCUGGUAGUGGGGGAUAACGUCCGGAAACGGGCGCUAAUACCGCAUACGUCCUGAGGGAGAAAGUGGGGGAUCUUCGGACCUCACGCUAUCAGAUGAGCCUAGGUCGGAUUAGCUAGUUGGUGGGGUAAAGGCCUACCAAGGCGACGAUCCGUAACUGGUCUGAGAGGAUGAUCAGUCACACUGGAACUGAGACACGGUCCAGACUCCUACGGGAGGCAGCAGUGGGGAAUAUUGGACAAUGGGCGAAAGCCUGAUCCAGCCAUGCCGCGGGUGUGAAGAAGGUCUUCGGAUUGUAAAGCACUUUAAGUUGGGAGGAAGGGCAGUAAGUUAAUACCUGGCUGUUUUGACGUUCCAACAGAAUAAGCACCGGCUAACUUCGUG
Molecule: ribosomal RNA, 483 nt
Filed under: uncultured bacterium
Lineage: Bacteria
Description: partial 16S ribosomal RNA
Rfam family: Bacterial small subunit ribosomal RNA
Source: RNAcentral